CGCGGAGUGGCGAAGCAGAAACGCACCGGCCUCAUAAGCCGGCCACGCACGGGUGCGAUUCCCGUCUCCGCAA
Molecule: transfer RNA, 73 nt
Filed under: Nannocystis sp.
Lineage: Bacteria; Pseudomonadati; Myxococcota; Nannocystales; Nannocystaceae
Description: tRNA-Met
Rfam family: tRNA
About the family: Transfer RNA (tRNA) molecules are approximately 80 nucleotides in length.
Source: RNAcentral